This 588-nucleotide ribosomal RNA is filed under the name uncultured bacterium. RNAcentral describes it as "partial 16S ribosomal RNA". It matches the Rfam family "Bacterial small subunit ribosomal RNA", at positions 355 to 1375 of the family's 1533-position model. The record is from RNAcentral.
UAGGGAAUAUUGGACAAUGGGCGCAAGCCUGAUCCAGCCAUGCCGCGUGAGUGAAGAAGGCCCUCGGGUUGUAAAGCUCUUUUGUCCGGAAAGAAAAAGCAUCGGGCUAAUACCCUGGUGUUCUGACGGUACCGGAAGAAUAAGCACCGGCUAACUUCGUGCCAGCAGCCGCGGUAAUACGAAGGGUGCAAGCGUUACUCGGAAUUACUGGGCGUAAAGCGUGCGUAGGUGGUUUGUUAAGUCUGAUGUGAAAGCCCUGGGCUCAACCUGGGAAUGGCAUUGGAAACUGGCGGACUCGAGUGCGGUAGAGGGGUGUGGAAUUCCCGGUGUAGCAGUGAAAUGCGUAGAGAUCGGGAGGAACACCAGUGGCGAAGGCGACACCCUGGACCAGCACUGACACUGAGGCACGAAAGCGUGGGGAGCAAACAGGAUUAGAUACCCUGGUAGUCCACGCCCUAAACGAUGCGAACUGGAUGUUGGGUGCAACUUGGCACUCAGUAUCGAAGCUAACGCGUUAAGUUCGCCGCCUGGGGAGUACGGUCGCAAGACUGAAACUCAAAGGAAUUGACGGGGUCAUAGCUGUUUCCU